UACGAAGGGUGCAAGCGUUACUCGGAAUUACUGGGCGUAAAGGGUGCGUAGGUGGUCGUUUAAGUCCGUUGUGAAAUCCCUGGGCUCAACCUGGGAAUGGCAGUGGAUACUGGACGGCUAGAAUGCGGUAGAGGGUAGUGGAAUUCCCGGUGUAGCAGUGAAAUGCGUAGAGAUCGGGAGGAACACCAGUGGCGAAGGCGGCAUCCUGGACUGGUCCUGACACUCAGGAGCGAAAGCGUGGGGAGCGAUCCGG
RNAcentral lists this ribosomal RNA (253 nucleotides) under uncultured bacterium. RNAcentral's name for it is "partial 16S ribosomal RNA". It matches the Rfam family "Bacterial small subunit ribosomal RNA", at positions 524 to 776 of the family's 1533-position model. The record is from RNAcentral.